ACACACACACACACACGCACGCACGCGCACAAACACACACACAGAGAAUAUACAUUGUAAAGUAGAAAUUUUACAACAUAUACUAGAAGUAUUAAAGCAUUGUAAAUAAUAUUUGCAAAAUUUUAUAAUACACACAAGGUCUUUGUAACUUUGUGCGAAAUGGCAAGAAUUGACAUAUAUAUUUCCGACAGUUUUUAAUCUCCUGAAGAAAAAAGUUGCAUAAGCACAUUUUCGUGAUUCAGCAAGAUGUAAGAAAAAAGAUGUCUCAUUCUAUCAUCGAGCAAUAAACAACUAGUUACAUUUAAUCUGAGAACGAGACCGGAAGAAAAUCAUCAGUAGAAGACACGGAUAUAGUAUGUUGAAGAAUCGUACAGCUACGUCAUAUCCGGUAUUCGAUUUGCAGAAUGAGAAGAGAAUAUUUCGCAAUAUAGAGAUAAAAGGACCUUGAGGCUCGUCACUUCCUCAGCAAUCCCCCUCUACAUUGCCUUGUUGAGUGAGACAAAGAGGGAUCUGAAAAGAAUAGAAACUAUCGUUGGAGCCUCAUCGCUAAGAGAACAAAAAUUGAUGGAGGUGAUAUCAAGUGGCCUGGAAGAUCGUUAGAUCCAUAAUUUCAGCAGAAUUUAAUGGGAUUACAUUAAAAAUGUCAUCUAUCAAGAGCGGCCAAUUACAAUUAAUGACAUAAAAGAACGCAUUCGUAUUACUAUCCCGUGUAAUCAACUGUUGAAAAUUAUUCAUUAUUUCCAUCGCCGAAUUCAAUUAGUUAUUCAAAUAAAUGAUGUUAACUUUAAA
This is a long non-coding RNA of Formica exsecta, 789 nucleotides long. RefSeq lists it as uncharacterized. The record is from RefSeq and is a predicted model, not a curated record. NCBI's taxonomy places the organism in Eukaryota, Metazoa, Arthropoda, Insecta, Hymenoptera, Formicidae. The transcript has 4 exons.